GAUGAACGCUGGCGGCGUGCCUAAUACAUGCAAGUCGAGCGAACAGACGAGGAGCUUGCUCCUCUGACGUUAGCGGCGGACGGGUGAGUAACACGUGGAUAACCUACCUAUAAGACUGGGAUAACUUCGGGAAACCGGAGCUAAUACCGGAUAAUAUAUUGAACCGCAUGGUUCAAUAGUGAAAGACGGUUUUGCUGUCACUUAUAGAUGGAUCCGCGCCGCAUUAGCUAGUUGGUAAGGUAACGGCUUACCAAGGCAACGAUGCGUAGACGACCUGAGAGGACGAGAGCAACCACUAGAAAUGAUACACGGAGGAGACUAAUAAGGGAGGAAGAAGUAUGGCAGCUUGAUGAAUGUGCGAGAGCCAAAAACAUCUACGAUGAGUGAAUAAUAAAGGUAUUGGAAGCGUAACACGCUGAUAUUAUGCCAGAACAUAUGUGCACGGAACUCUGCACAACUUGACGGUGCCUAAGCAGAGGGCGAGGACUAGGAACGAC
This 497-nucleotide ribosomal RNA is filed under the name uncultured bacterium. RNAcentral's name for it is "partial 16S ribosomal RNA". It matches the Rfam family "Bacterial small subunit ribosomal RNA", at positions 28 to 507 of the family's 1533-position model. The record is from RNAcentral.